UUAUCACAUAUAUGGACUGCGUUAACGUUGGCAAAUGCUGAACAACAGCCCGUUCAAGCAGAACAUCUUGCCUUUGCUGUCGUUUUUGGCAAAAAUUUUGACUUUUCUGAGGAGGAGGUGAAAGAAAUGCAGGAAGACUUCCAAAGUUUCAAGACUGCCUUACGUAUGCGCUGGUGAGUCCCCCAAAUGAUUGGUUCAUGGUCUCGUCCGAGGAAGACUUAAUUCAGGCUUGUGGGACGACUUUAGAGAUCUAACGUUUUGAUGAUCGUCUUUGUUGUAAUAUAAUUCACUCUACUUUUGCAUCUUGCUGUGCUUAACUUCUUAUGUCCAAAGGUGAUCCAGAAUGUUGAACCUGCAUGCGGCAGCAUUGCUUUGUGACAUCAAUGUGUAUAUACAUUAGUAUUUAACGGAUGGGCGAAUAGAAUAUUGACAUUACUCUAUGUAAUGCAUUUUUUUUUGUUUCUAUUUAUGCGAAAAUCUAAACUAGCGGAGUAUUUCCUCUGUCUUUUGUAUUUGCUAUAUUUUUAUUCUGGGAAAUCAAAUUAUCAAAUUUGAUCGA
Molecule: long non-coding RNA, 559 nt
Organism: Beta vulgaris subsp. vulgaris (sugar beet)
Lineage: Eukaryota; Viridiplantae; Streptophyta; Magnoliopsida; Caryophyllales; Amaranthaceae
Exons: 4
Source: RefSeq, a predicted model, not a curated record